GACGAACGCUGGCGGCGUGCCUAAUACAUGCAAGUAGAACGCUGAAGAGAGGAGCUUGCUCUUCUUGGAUGAGUUGCGAACGGGUGAGUAACGCGUAGGUAACCUGCCUUGUAGCGGGGGAUAACUAUUGGAAACGAUAGCUAAUACCGCAUAACAAUGGAUGACACAUGUCAUUUAUUUGAAAGGGGCAAUUGCUCCACUACAAGAUGGACCUGCGUUGUAUUAGCUAGUAGGUGAGGUAACGGCUCACCUAGGCGACGAUACAUAGCCGACCUGAGAGGGUGAUCGGCCACACUGGGACUGAGACACGGCCCAGACUCCUACGGGAGGCAGCAGUAGGGAAUCAUCGGCAAUGGGGGCAACCCUGACCGAGCAACGCCGCGUGAGUGAAGAAGGUUUUCGGAUCGUAAAGCUCUGUUGUAAGUCAAGAACGAGUGUGAGAGUGGAAAGUUCACACUGUGACGGUAGCUUACCAGAAAGGGACGGCUAACUACGUG
This 497-nucleotide ribosomal RNA is filed under the name uncultured bacterium. RNAcentral's name for it is "partial 16S ribosomal RNA". It matches the Rfam family "Bacterial small subunit ribosomal RNA", at positions 28 to 507 of the family's 1533-position model. The record is from RNAcentral.